RNAcentral lists this ribosomal RNA (497 nucleotides) under uncultured bacterium. RNAcentral's name for it is "partial 16S ribosomal RNA". It matches the Rfam family "Bacterial small subunit ribosomal RNA", at positions 28 to 507 of the family's 1533-position model. The record is from RNAcentral.
GAUGAACGCUGGCGGCGUGCCUAAUACAUGCAAGUCGAGCGAACGGACGAGAAGCUUGCUUCUCUGAUGUUAGCGGCGGACGGGUGAGUAACACGUGGAUAACCUACCUAUAAGACUGGGAUAACUUCGGGAAACCGUAGCUAAUACCGGAUAAUAUUUUGAACCGCAUGGUUCAAAAGUGAAAGACGGUCUUGCUGUCACUUAUAGAUGGAUCCGCGCUGCAUUAGCUAGUUGGUAGGGUAACGGCUUACCAAGGCAACGGUUCAUAGCCGACCUGAGAGGGUGAUCGGCCACACUGGAACUGAGACACGGUCCAGACUCCUACGGGAGGCAGCAGUAGGGAAUCUUCCGCAAUGGGCGAAAGCCUGACGGAGCAACGCCGCGUGAGUGGUGAAGGUCUUCGGAUCGUAAAACUCUGUUAUUAGGGAAGAACAUAUGUGUAAGUAACUGUGCACAUCUUGACGGUACCUAAUCAGAAAGCCACGGCUAACUACGUG